ACGGGUGAGUAACACGUAGGUAACCUACCCUUCAGUGGGGGACAACAGAGGGAAACUUCUGCUAAUACCGCAUACGAUCACGGACUGGGAUGUUCGUGGUGAAAGGAUUUAUUCGCUGAGGGAUGGGCCUGCGGCCUAUCAGGUAGUUGGUGGGGUAAUGGCCUACCAAGCCUGCGACGGGUAGCCGGACUGAGAGGUCGAUCGGCCACACUGGAACUGAGACACGGUCCAGACUCCUACGGGAGGCAGCAGUGGGGAAUAUUGCACAAUGGGGGAAACCCUGAUGCAGCGACGCCGCGUGGAGGAUGACGGCCUUCGGGUUGUAAACUCCUUUUGUCGGGGACAAUGGUGAUGGUACCCGACGAAUAAGCCACGGCUAACUCUGUGCCAGCAGCCGCGGUAAGACAGAGGUGGCGAGCGUUGUUCGGAAUUACUGGGCUUAAAGGGCGCGUAGGCGGUGGUGUAGGUCUAGGGUGGAAUGCUACAGCUCAACUGUAGAGCUGCCUUGGAAACUGCAUUACUUGAGUCGGUGAGGGGAAGGUGGAAUUCCAGGU
RNAcentral lists this ribosomal RNA (554 nucleotides) under uncultured bacterium. Its description in RNAcentral is "bacterial SSU rRNA". It matches the Rfam family "Bacterial small subunit ribosomal RNA", at positions 102 to 674 of the family's 1533-position model. The record is from RNAcentral.